This 253-nucleotide ribosomal RNA is filed under the name uncultured bacterium. RNAcentral's name for it is "partial 16S ribosomal RNA". It matches the Rfam family "Bacterial small subunit ribosomal RNA", at positions 524 to 776 of the family's 1533-position model. The record is from RNAcentral.
UACGUAGGUGGCAAGCGUUAUCCGGAUUUACUGGGUGUAAAGGGCGUGUAGGCGGGAAAGCAAGUCAGAUGUGAAAACCAUGGGCUCAACCUGUGGCCUACAUUUGAAACUGUUUUUCUUGAGUACUGGAGAGGCAGACGGAAUUCCUAGUGUAGCGGUGAAAUGCGUAGAUAUUAGGAGGAACACCAGUGGCGAAGGCGGUCUGCUGGACAGCAACUGACGCUGAGGCGCGAAAGCGUGGGGAGCAAACAGG